RNAcentral lists this ribosomal RNA (348 nucleotides) under Staphylococcus aureus. RNAcentral describes it as "partial 23S ribosomal RNA". It matches the Rfam family "Bacterial large subunit ribosomal RNA", at positions 557 to 907 of the family's 2925-position model. The record is from RNAcentral. Lineage: Bacteria; Bacillati; Bacillota; Bacilli; Caryophanales; Staphylococcaceae.
CGUGUGCUUACAAGUAGUCAGAGCCCGUUAAUGGGUGAUGGCGUGCCUUUUGUAGAAUGAACCGGCGAGUUACGAUUUGAUGCAAGGUUAAGCAGUAAAUGUGGAGCCGUAGCGAAAGCGAGUCUGAAUAGGGCGUUUAGUAUUUGGUCGUAGACCCGAAACCAGGUGAUCUACCCUUGGUCAGGUUGAAGUUCAGGUAACACUGAAUGGAGGACCGAACCGACUUACGUUGAAAAGUGAGCGGAUGAACUGAGGGUAGCGGAGAAAUUCCAAUCGAACCUGGAGAUAGCUGGUUCUCUCCGAAAUAGCUUUAGGGCUAGCCUCAAGUGAUGAUUAUUGGAGGUAGAG